GUGUCAGCAGCCGCGGUAAUACGGAGGGUGCAAGCGUUGUCCGGAAUCACUGGGUGUAAAGGGUGUGUAGGCGGGGCUGUAAGUCAGAGGUGAAAUCCCACGGCUUAACCGUGGAACUGCCUUUGAUACUGCAGCUCUUGAGUCCCGGAGAGGUGGCUGGAAUUCGUGGUGUAGCGGUGAAAUGCGUAGAUAUCACGAGGAACACCAGAGGUGUAGACGGGUCACUGGACGGGUACUGACGCUGAGGCACGAAAGCGUGGGGAGCAAACAGGAUUAGAUACCCUGGUAGUCCACGCCGUAAACGAUGGAUGCUCGGUGUUGCCCCGCUUUAGGGGCAGUGCCUAAGCUAACGCGUUAAGCAUCCCACCUGGGGAGUACGCUCGCAAGAGUGAAACUUAAAUGAAUUGGCGGGG
This 413-nucleotide ribosomal RNA is filed under the name uncultured prokaryote. RNAcentral describes it as "bacterial SSU rRNA". It matches the Rfam family "Bacterial small subunit ribosomal RNA", at positions 505 to 918 of the family's 1533-position model. The record is from RNAcentral.